AUUGAACGCUGGCGGCAUGCUUUACACAUGCAAGUCGAACGGUAACAGGGAGCUUGCUCCGCUGACGAGUGGCGAACGGGUGAGUAAUGCAUCGGAACGUGCCGUGUAAUGGGGGAUAACGUAGCGAAAGUUACGCUAAUACCGCAUACGCCCUGAGGGGGAAAGUGGGGGACCGCAAGGCCUCACGUUAUACGAGCGGCCGAUGUCGGAUUAGCUAGUUGGUGGGGUAAAGGCCUACCAAGGCGACGAUCCGUAGCGGGUCUGAGAGGAUGAUCCGCCACACUGGGACUGAGAAACGGCCCAGACUCCUACGGGAGGCAGCAGUGGGGAAUUUUGGACAAUGGGGGCAACCCUGAUCCAGCCAUGCCGCGUGAGUGAAGAAGGCCUUCGGGUUGUAAAGGCC
This 403-nucleotide ribosomal RNA is filed under the name uncultured bacterium. Its description in RNAcentral is "bacterial SSU rRNA". It matches the Rfam family "Bacterial small subunit ribosomal RNA", at positions 30 to 433 of the family's 1533-position model. The record is from RNAcentral.